UGCUUAACACAUGCAAGUCGCACGGAUCUUUCGCGGGAUUAGUGGCGGACGGGUGAGUAACGCGUAGGGAUCUAUCCAUGGGUGGGGGACAACUCCGGGAAACUGGAGCUAAUACCGCAUGAUACCUGAGGGUCAAAGGCGCAAGUCGCCUGUGGAGGAACCUGCGUUCGAUUAGCUAGUUGGUGGGGUAAAGGCCUACCAAGGCGAUGAUCGAUAGCUGGUUUGAGAGGAUGAUCAGCCACACUGGGACUGAGACACGGCCCAGACUCCUACGGGAGGCAGCAGUGGGGAAUAUUGGACAAUGGGCGAAAGCCUGAUCCAGCAAUGCCGCGUGUGUGAAGAAGGUCUUCGGAUUGUAAAGCACUUUCGACGGGGACGAUGAUGACGGUACCCGUAGAAGAAGCCCCGGCUAACUUCGUGCCAGCAGCCGCGGUAAUACGAAGGGGGCUAGCGUUGCUCGGAAUGACUGGGCGUAAAGGGCGCGUAGGCGGUUGAUGCAGUCAGAUGUGAAAUCCCCGGGCUUAACCUGGGAACUGCAUUUGAGACGCAUUGACUAGAGUUCGAGAGAGGGUUGUGGAAUUCCCAGUGUAGAGGUGAAAUUCGUAGAUAUUGGGAAAAACACCGGUGGA
RNAcentral lists this ribosomal RNA (629 nucleotides) under Gluconobacter sp. AaM40a. RNAcentral describes it as "bacterial SSU rRNA". It matches the Rfam family "Bacterial small subunit ribosomal RNA", at positions 45 to 716 of the family's 1533-position model. The record is from RNAcentral. Lineage: Bacteria; Pseudomonadati; Pseudomonadota; Alphaproteobacteria; Acetobacterales; Acetobacteraceae.